Molecule: ribosomal RNA, 251 nt
Filed under: uncultured bacterium
Lineage: Bacteria
Description: partial 16S ribosomal RNA
Rfam family: Bacterial small subunit ribosomal RNA
Source: RNAcentral
AACGUGGGUAACCUGCCCAAGAGACUGGGAUAACGACCUGGAAACAGAAUGCUAAUACCGGAUAACAACACUAGACGCAUGUCUAGAGUUUAAAAGUAUGGUUCUGCUAUUCACUCUUGGAUGGACCUGCGGUGCAUUGGCUAGUUGGUAAGGUAACGGGCUUACCAAGGCAAUGAUGCAUAGCCGAGUUGAGAGACUGAUCGGCCACAUUGGGACUGAGACACGGCCCAAACUCCUACGGGAGGCAGCAG